GGAUAUAAGGGUGAUCUGGUUGUGACAUCUGUCACCCCACCUUAUUGAUCUUGAGGUUUGAUUAGGUUGAUCUGGCCGGUUAGGCAGGUUUUUCUUUCCUGCGUCCAUAUGCAUCCUUCCUGAAACUGUACACUUGGUUAAAGAGGAUGACCUUCACUGAUCGGAAGAGGACCAGUCUUCAGUCAAGAGUCUAUGUGUAGCUGUGCCCCUGCUAUGAUCUCCAAACAAGCUCUCAAGAAUGUGGCUGUUAAUAUUGAUUGGAUAAAGGGACACCUCGGAGGUUAAUAAAUUACACCUCCAGGUGUGUCUAGGAGAU
RNAcentral lists this small nuclear RNA (316 nucleotides) under Microtus ochrogaster (prairie vole). Its description in RNAcentral is "7SK RNA (ENSMOCG00000009749.1)". It matches the Rfam family "7SK RNA". Rfam says of the family: 7SK was discovered as an abundant small nuclear RNA in the mid-70s but a possible function has only recently been suggested. Two independent studies have found that 7SK RNA binds the CDK9/cyclin T complex (known as elongation factor P-TEFb). The record is from RNAcentral. Lineage: Eukaryota; Metazoa; Chordata; Mammalia; Rodentia; Cricetidae.